RNAcentral lists this ribosomal RNA (1268 nucleotides) under Escherichia coli. Its description in RNAcentral is "partial 23S ribosomal RNA". It matches the Rfam family "Bacterial large subunit ribosomal RNA", at positions 1 to 1299 of the family's 2925-position model. The record is from RNAcentral. Lineage: Bacteria; Pseudomonadati; Pseudomonadota; Gammaproteobacteria; Enterobacterales; Enterobacteriaceae.
GGGUUGUGAGGUUAAGCGACUAAGCGUACACGGUGGAUGCCCUGGCAGUCAGAGGCGAUGAAGGACGUGCUAAUCUGCGAUAAGCGUCGGUAAGGUGAUAUGAACCGUUAUAACCGGCGAUUUCCGAAUGGGGAAACCCAGUGUGUUUCGACACACUAUCAUUAACUGAAUCCAUAGGUUAAUGAGGCGAACCGGGGGAACUGAAACAUCUAAGUACCCCGAGGAAAAGAAAUCAACCGAGAUUCCCCCAGUAGCGGCGAGCGAACGGGGAGCAGCCCAGAGCCUGAAUCAGUAUGUGUGUUAGUGGAAGCGUCUGGAAAGGCGCGCGAUACAGGGUGACAGCCCCGUACACAAAAAUGCACAUGCUGUGAGCUCGAUGAGUAGGGCGGGACACGUGGUAUCCUGUCUGAAUAUGGGGGGACCAUCCUCCAAGGCUAAAUACUCCUGACUGACCGAUAGUGAACCAGUACCGUGAGGGAAAGGCGAAAAGAACCCCGGCGAGGGGAGUGAAAAAGAACCUGAAACCGUGUACGUACAAGCAGUGGGAGCACGCUUAGGCGUGUGACUGCGUACCUUUUGUAUAAUGGGUCAGCGACUUAUAUUCUGUAGCAAGGUUAACCGAAUAGGGGAGCCGAAGGGAAACCGAGUCUUAACUGGGCGUUAAGUUGCAGGGUAUAGACCCGAAACCCGGUGAUCUAGCCAUGGGCAGGUUGAAGGUUGGGUAACACUAACUGGAGGACCGAACCGACUAAUGUUGAAAAAUUAGCGGAUGACUUGUGGCUGGGGGUGAAAGGCCAAUCAAACCGGGAGAUAGCUGGUUCUCCCCGAAAGCUAUUUAGGUAGCGCCUCGUGAAUUCAUCUCCGGGGGUAGAGCACUGUUUCGGCAAGGGGGUCAUCCCGACUUACCAACCCGAUGCAAACUGCGAAUACCGGAGAAUGUUAUCACGGGAGACACACGGCGGGUGCUAACGUCCGUCGUGAAGAGGGAAACAACCCAGACCGCCAGCUAAGGUCCCAAAGUCAUGGUUAAGUGGGAAACGAUGUGGGAAGGCCCAGACAGCCAGGAUGUUGGCUUAGAAGCAGCCAUCAUUUAAAGAAAGCGUAAUAGCUCACUGGUCGAGUCGGCCUGCGCGGAAGAUGUAACGGGGCUAAACCAUGCACCGAAGCUGCGGCAGCGACGCUGAUGCGUUGUUGGGUAGGGGAGCGUUCUGUAAGCCUGCGAAGGUGUGCUGUGAGGCAUGCUGGAGGUAUCAGAAGUGCGAAUGCUG